GCCCGGUCUUUCUGCACCAUCGUCUCCCCUUCCGGAGCUGUGCAGACAACAUCCACUGCUAUUCACAGGGUUUUCAUGGCCAAUUUUUCAGAAGUGGGUGGCCAGGUCCUUCUUCUCAGUCUACCUUAGUCUGGAAGCUCCGUGGAAACCUGUCCACCAUGGAUGGCCCUGCUGGUAUUUGAAAUCCUGGUGGCACAGCUUUCAGCAUCACAGCCACAUGCAGCCACCACAGGAUGACAAUGACAGAUGGGUGGUGUGGGUCCCUGACCAGGAAGUGAACCCAGGCCGUGGCGGUAAGAGCACCGGAUCUUAACCACUAGACCACGGGGCUGGCUACCACUAUUUUCCCAGAGCAAAAAUGGCCACAACUUUGCCCCAGCAUCGCAAGGGACAUCCUGCUGUCCUUCCCUCCUAACAAGAUCAGGACUCAGCUAUUUCAGCAAAAGGCAGAUCUAGAAGACAGCUUUCCUCAUUCUGAGAAAAAGGCAGAUUCCUCGUCUACCGUAGCUCGCACAAAACGGCCCCAGCUUCUCUAAUGGAGCUGCAGUUGACAAAACCCACGCUUCGCAGGCUGCUGAGUGAAAUGCUUAGGAAAGCAAAAUUGGAAGAUGCUGCGCUACUCAAACCGUGAAUGUAUUUUCCACAAUGAUAGCCCAUAUCUGCCCUUAUUCGAUGGAACCAGGCUGUGUUCUUCACACCAUAAGUGUCAUCUUCACAAUAUCUCUACUCAAGAGGCUCAGAAACUCCUCGGCUCGCCAGUGCAUGACGUUCCCAGAGGCUGUUCUAAGUGUAUUUGUGCUAAAGUACAAAAUGACUGUUCGAGCCAUCACUCCUAUCUGGCGGAAACAGAUCCUCAAAAGAAGAUUCUGGGAUCAAUUUGCUUAUCUAUUUGAGGAUCUUCGAAGAGUGAAGUUUGAAAUCCUACCAGGAGAGAGCUCCUGUCCAGCCACAGUCUUGGCAGAAGGAAAGGGGAACACAGAAAUAGAACAUGUCGUAGAAGGAAGCUCUGAUUACUGAACUAUGCUGCAUCCAGGUUUGAUGGUAUUGACAUCACUCCAUGAUGAUUCAGAAGCUGACGGGACUUCAUGAGUCCCGUGAUGGACAAACAAACUUCUCCCACAAACACAAGUGGAUGCUAAGGAAUGAUGGCACCAGAUGUCUUAUUUAUCACUCCAGAUGCAGGAUGCUGUUCGCUGCGGAUUAUAGCAAUUGUCUCCUUCACCUUCUGGGCCGCGGGUGGGCUCCUGUACCAUCCCAGCAGGAGAUCUGACGACGGGAUGAGAACCAGCUGAGGGUGCUUACUUCUUUGCUCCCAUCCUGGGGGUUGCCUCUAGCUGGCUACAUCCCAUAACCAAAGGACACAAUUCCUGUCAUGAUUCCAUGCGGAACAGGAGAUGGAGAAUGUGGGAAAUUAAAGGCUGGGGGACUGGUGCAGUGUCCCCUGAACCAGGUUCUCGUUCAACAAGUAUACGCUGAGUACCUGCCCUGUGCCAGGCACCAUUCUACAGCAGAAAGAAGAGAGAUCAAGUUCCAGCCCUCUGGGGUUUACAUUCCAGUAUAGGAGACAAUCAACAAGUGAACAAAGAAAUGAGCCCACAACAGCAGAACUGUAUAGCUUCAAGAGAGACUACAAAGCUGAAAAUACUUGCUCGCUGGCUCUCUGCAGAGUAAGUUUACCGACCCCUGCUCUCUGGCCUGGAGCCACAGCAUCAUGAUAGAAGGAACUGAGGAGCAGUCCAUUUCCUCUAGGAAUUUUCUGGGAGCCAGAGCAAUGGUCUGCUUAACUAACCCUUCCCGUCUUAGAAUGGGUUGGAGGAAAAUUCACACUCGAGCUUAAUCAGUACAUGGAGAUUGGGGUAACUCUACCUUCUGCCUCCUUGAAUAAACUUGCCCAGAAACUCAAUUCGAAAUGCCCACGUCGGGGAUGGAGAAACAAGCAGAAAAGAAAGCUCCAGCCCGUGGCCUCAGGUCGAACUCGGAGUGAACUUCUGCACGACCAAGCAACUUCAAGUUCUCAGCUUGCUGCGUAUUUCUCCCACCUCCACCCCUGCUUUCUGUGUGGUACUGCUGAUUCUAGCUGCUAAUAACACUUAAUCUACCCAACAACAUCGACAUCAGAGAAAAUGACUGGGAUCAGAAAUCCUCCCUCACCUCUCGCCUUGCAGCCUCUGAAGAAGGCUCUGCCACUGUCUGCAAGUGAAGCCUAGCCUGAAGCCUUCAGCUUCCAGAGGCCAAGCAAAUGUUAUCCUAACAUGGGUCACGGUAGGUGGGUGGUUGGCAAACCUGUUGAUACACUACGCUGUCUACAACAUAACUUGUUGCAAAGCUGAAUUAACAGUAGCCCCAAGGCCAGCUGAAGACUGCGCACAGAUUAUCCCCAUUCCUAUUUUAAGAUUUGAAUCUAACAAACAGCACAGACUGCUCCGCCAUCAUUUGCUUACCACUUGUUUGUAUCUAUUUUUCUGUGUUACUAACUUUAGCCAUGCUUUUUGCCACAGGAUUGAGUCUGAGAGCAGGCAGACAUGGACUCAAGAAAGACAGAUGAUGGUUUAAAUUUACUCUCACAGGAUAAAGACCAAAACAGCCUUCUCCUGUUCAAGGACCCCUCGAAGCUGGUUAGCUAAUAGCCAAUUUUUUUUUUUAAAGACUUUAUCUUUUUUCAUUUUUCUCGCCAAAGCCCCCCGGUACAUAGUUGUAUAUUCUUCGUUGUGGGUCCUUCUAGUUGCGGCAUGGGGGACGCUGCCUCAGCGUGGUUUGAUGAGCAGUGCCACGUCCGCGCCCAGGAUUCGAACCAACGAAACACUAGGCCGCCUGCAGCGGAGAGCGCGAACUUAACCACUCAGCCACGGGGCCAGCCCCACUAAUAGCCAAUUUUGAGCACCCUAAAAAUCAUGACAAAGUGACAGGAUCCUAGUCAUCAUGUUCAUAGUAUAAUUUCUCAUUUGGAUGAUGAUAAAUUCAUAAAUUUUAGAGCAAAAUAGCUGUAAAGAAUAGUAGUCAGGUGAAAUUUGGGUAUAAAAUGAUCUGGGUGUGAACUUGGGCUGUGGUCUUUACUCUCCGUUCCACCCUGGACAAGUCACUUACCCCCCCUAGAAUGCAGUUUCCUACUGGGAAAAUGAAGGGAGUGGACUGGUUCCAUGAAGUACCCUCCAGCAGCAAAAGUCUAUGAAUCUCCAUCCGGUCUAGGUUAACCCCUUCCUUUACAGAUGUAGAAACUGAACACACAAGGGUGAACUCUAAAACAGCUAGUUAGGGGUAUAGAUGAGUUUGGAAUCAGUCUUUGAUAUUUUGUUUUAAAUUAACUGGGUGUGGGGGGCAGGUGUGGGUGUGUAUGUGUGCGUAGGUGUUCUGAAGAGCUCAAAAUCAUAAAAAUGCAAUACCCCUGGCCCCGGGCCUAACUUCAUGUGAAUUUCUGCAUCUUUCUGUUCUUAGAAUCUCUGUUCUUAGAACAGAAGGGGCCAUAAAGAUUGUGCAUGGCACCCUACUCAAUUUAUAGGCAAGAACUUAGAAGACACCCCAACUGGAACACCAGAGCUGGGAGCACAUCUCAGGCCUUAGAACACACAAAGGCCUGAACAAUGACGUGGUUUGUAUUGACUCUCAGCCCAAGUGGUAUUUCUCAAAUUUUCUUAGUAAUGAAUGACUUACGAAAAAAGCUAGUGAUUAAAUGUCAUUUGCUGGAUUUUCUCUAAAUAAAAAUCAUUUUCUAAGAGUCACUAACCGCUUACUAUAAUGACUUUACUGUGGGAUUACUUUAAUUUUACUGUGGAAAUAAGGAUUAUGUCAACUUCCUUUACCUCAGAAGUCUUGAAAUGGAAAAUUUUGCUUGUGUAAGUACAUAGU
RNAcentral lists this long non-coding RNA (3843 nucleotides) under Equus caballus (horse). RNAcentral describes it as "lncRNA (ENSECAG00000042528.2)". The record is from RNAcentral. Lineage: Eukaryota; Metazoa; Chordata; Mammalia; Perissodactyla; Equidae.